UACGUAGGGUGCGAGCGUUGUCCGGAAUUACUGGGCGUAAAGAGCUCGUAGGUGGUUUGUCGCGUUGUUCGUGAAAACUCACAGCUUAACUGUGGGCGUGCGGGCGAUACGGGCAGACUGGAGUACUGCAGGGGAGACUGGAAUUCCUGGUGUAGCGGUGGAAUGCGCAGAUAUCAGGAGGAACACCGGUGGCGAAGGCGGCAUCCUGGACCGACACUGACACUGAGGAGCGAAAGCCAGGGGAGCAAACGGG
Molecule: ribosomal RNA, 253 nt
Filed under: uncultured bacterium
Lineage: Bacteria
Description: partial 16S ribosomal RNA
Rfam family: Bacterial small subunit ribosomal RNA
Source: RNAcentral